UAUAUUUUAGUAUAUGAUGUACGAGGGUUUUUGAUACUUUAAGGAAUAGUUUAAUUCUAUUAAAUAUAA
RNAcentral lists this transfer RNA (69 nucleotides) under Leconectes striatellus. Its description in RNAcentral is "tRNA-Gln". Lineage: Eukaryota; Metazoa; Arthropoda; Insecta; Coleoptera; Dytiscidae. The record is from RNAcentral.